RNAcentral lists this ribosomal RNA (637 nucleotides) under Mycobacterium sp. Se3Pw_3392. RNAcentral's name for it is "bacterial SSU rRNA". It matches the Rfam family "Bacterial small subunit ribosomal RNA", at positions 381 to 1030 of the family's 1533-position model. Lineage: Bacteria; Bacillati; Actinomycetota; Actinomycetes; Mycobacteriales; Mycobacteriaceae. The record is from RNAcentral.
GCCUGAUGCAGCGACGCCGCGUGAGGGAUGACGGCCUUCGGGUUGUAAACCUCUUUCAGCAGGGACGAAGCGCAAGUGACGGUACCUGUAGAAGAAGCACCGGCCAACUACGUGCCAGCAGCCGCGGUAAUACGUAGGGUGCGAGCGUUGUCCGGAAUUACUGGGCGUAAAGAGCUCGUAGGUGGUUUGUCGCGUUGUUCGUGAAAACUCACAGCUCAACUGUGGGCGUGCGGGCGAUACGGGCAGACUUGAGUACUGCAGGGGAGACUGGAAUUCCUGGUGUAGCGGUGGAAUGCGCAGAUAUCAGGAGGAACACCGGUGGCGAAGGCGGGUCUCUGGGCAGUAACUGACGCUGAGGAGCGAAAGCGUGGGGAGCGAACAGGAUUAGAUACCCUGGUAGUCCACGCCGUAAACGGUGGGUACUAGGUGUGGGUUUCCUUCCUUGGGAUCCGUGCCGUAGCUAACGCAUUAAGUACCCCGCCUGGGGAGUACGGCCGCAAGGCUAAAACUCAAAGAAAUUGACGGGGGCCCGCACAAGCGGCGGAGCAUGUGGAUUAAUUCGAUGCAACGCGAAGAACCUUACCUGGGUUUGACAUGCACAGGACGCCGGCAGAGAUGUCGGUUCCCUUGUGGCCUG